Molecule: ribosomal RNA, 492 nt
Filed under: uncultured bacterium
Lineage: Bacteria
Description: partial 16S ribosomal RNA
Rfam family: Bacterial small subunit ribosomal RNA
Source: RNAcentral
AGUGAACGCUGGCGGUAGGCCUAACACAUGCAAGUCGAACGGCAGCACAGUACGAGCGUGCUCUUACGGGUGGCGAGUGGCGGACGGGUGAGGAAUACAUCGGAAUCUACUUUUUCGUGGGGGAUCACGUAGGGAAACUUACGCUAAUACCGCAUACGACCUACGGGUGAGAGCAGGGGAUCUUCGGACCUUGCGCGGUUGAAUGAGCCGAUGUGGGAUUAGCUGGUUGGCGGGGUAAUUGCCCACCCAGGCGAGGAUCCGUAGCUGGUCUGAGAGGAUGGUCAGCCACACUGGAAGUGAGACACGGACCAGACUCCUACGGGAGGCAGCAGUCGGGAAUAGUGGACAAUGGGCGCAAGCCUGACCCAGCCAGACCGCGUGGGUGGAGGAGGCCUUCGGGUUGGAAAGCCCGCUUGUUGGGAAAGAAAAGCAGUAGGUUAAGACCACGCUGUUCUGACGGUAAUCAAUGAAUAAGCACCGGCUAACUACGUG